AUUGAACGCUGGCGGCAGGCUUAACACAUGCAAGUCGAGCGGGGGAAGGUAGCUUGCUACCGGACCUAGCGGCGGACGGGUGAGUAAUGCUUAGGAAUCUGCCUAUUAGUGGGGGACAACAUCUCGAAAGGGAUGCUAAUACCGCAUACGUCCUACGGGAGAAAGCAGGGGAUCUUCGGACCUUGCGCUAAUAGAUGAGCCUAAGUCGGAUUAGCUAGUUGGUGGGGCAAAGGCCUACCAAGGCGACGAUCUGUAGCGGGUCUGAGAGGAUGAUCCGCCACACUGGGACUGAGACACGGCCCAGACUCCUACGGGAGGCAGCAGUGGGGAAUAUUGGACAAUGGGGGGAGCCCUGAUCCAGCCAUGCCGCGUGUGUGAAGAAGGCCUUAUGGUUGUAAAGCACUUUAAGCGAGGAGGAGGCUACUUUAGUUAAUACCUAGAGAUAGUGGACGUUACUCGCAGAAUAAGCACCGGCUAACUCUGUGCCAGCAGCCGCCGUAA
This 501-nucleotide ribosomal RNA is filed under the name uncultured bacterium. RNAcentral's name for it is "partial 16S ribosomal RNA". It matches the Rfam family "Bacterial small subunit ribosomal RNA", at positions 30 to 523 of the family's 1533-position model. The record is from RNAcentral.